This is a long non-coding RNA of Electrophorus electricus (electric eel), 449 nucleotides long. RefSeq lists it as uncharacterized. NCBI's taxonomy places the organism in Eukaryota, Metazoa, Chordata, Actinopteri, Gymnotiformes, Gymnotidae. The record is from RefSeq and is a predicted model, not a curated record.
GUCAGAAACUGUACCGCAAGGAGGGCUGCUGCUCUGCUCACCCAGACGUUAUUGAUCCUAAUCGGCCGCCUAUGCUGACAUGCGUCUGGCCAAUAUUAUUUUGCGGUUGCAGUUUGGGUGAACCCUUUAAAGAAGAGACCAUCAUAUACGCAAUGACUCACGUAAGUCAUGACUCCAAUACAACACAGCCCAAGAUGAUGCAUCAGUGAAGUCUGAUGAUCAUGAAUUCGUCUUGCUUAUUUAUCAUAACAACCAUAGUCUAUGACGAUGAUAAAACAGCUACUUCGUUACAAAGAACACAGCACAAAUGUUAUGUGAGGUUAUAAACUGGCUGGCAGCCUUCAGGAAAAGGCUGACAUCCUCAUAGUUAACAAACAUGAGGACAGUAUAAGUGCUGUCAUUAUGCUGGCACAGAUUUCUAUGCAUUAGGGUCAGUUGUAAUAAAACUG